This is a long non-coding RNA of Dermacentor albipictus, 713 nucleotides long. RefSeq lists it as uncharacterized. The record is from RefSeq and is a predicted model, not a curated record. NCBI's taxonomy places the organism in Eukaryota, Metazoa, Arthropoda, Arachnida, Ixodida, Ixodidae.
CCGCGUGAACGGCGCGAGUGACUUAGCCGACAAGCGGAGCGGAACAGCAACAGAAGCUCUCGUCUGGCACUGUGGAUCGAGCGGCGGGCAAUGUCACAACGUAACCGGCCUACCCGUGCUGAUCCGGGAUUCGCCCCGGUUUACAGCGCUGUCCUGGGAGCCUACGUUGUUGAUCCUGCCAUGGCCGGUCUUUGGCCGGGCUUCCUGCAAGGCUGUGCAUCGGCGUUCAUCGCUGUGCUGACCUUGCGAGGCCGGGCGGCGCCCUGGCUACUGUGACUGCCACAGCCACCCACUGCCGCCUCUACAACACCGCUGCAGCUCGUAAUGAACGGCUACAAUUCGAACUGUCUGACCGCCGCCUUCAUCAGUACUCACAAACUGCUGGGGAAUGAGGGCCAUGGGAGAAUUGGAGGAAUUAUGAGGGAAGGAGUGGCCGAAUACUGCACCAGGGAAGCCAAUUCCUGUUCUGUACGCCGACUCAAGAACCGCCUCAUUCACGGCAACCCCUGUGCACCUGCCUCAACCGCUGAUCCAACCACGCCGGCCGGUUCCACGUGCAGUAACCACAGAACCACAGAAGUUCAGGCCACGUGCACAGGCACCGUCGCCGCAGUCUUUCCCCAUCUCGCCUGCCCCUCUUCAUAGCCGUAGUGCUGUCGCCAGACUCUUUCCCCCUCUUCCAUACCCGUGCCCAUUCCUGUAUACGCGCAGUA